Xiphias gladius (swordfish) is the source of this 477-nucleotide long non-coding RNA. RefSeq lists it as uncharacterized. Lineage: Eukaryota; Metazoa; Chordata; Actinopteri; Istiophoriformes; Xiphiidae. The record is from RefSeq and is a predicted model, not a curated record. The transcript is spliced from 3 exons.
UGGGGACACACAAGAAACACGAGGGAGGGGAGCAAAAUAGCAGAAACACAAGGGAGUCAAGGAAAGGCAGAACCGAUGCCCUAACAUUUCCUGCUUUGUGGACAUCUUUCAGAGGGAAGGCCAGUUCAUGUUUUCUGCUUGUCCUGCUUGGGCGAAGACUGGACUUGGGCAGAUGACAAAGUUUUUGCCAUAUGGACCCUUGCAGACAUACGGAUGUGGAAACCAAGAAUUGGUGUGCCGCACAUCAUCUGCUGCCCACUUCCGUGAGGUUUUUCAGUGAGUCUUCAAUAUGUGAUGCCAGCCACAUUGAUGUUGAGUUUGCUGUCAGACCGCAUCCACUCUGUCAGGAGGUGUAAUCACUGGAUUUCAACUCACCAUUACACCUGGGGCUAUGCUAGGUUAGAAUGUCAACUAUUGCACACAAGUUGUAUCUCAUAACCUAAUGGAGAGAUUGCUAAUAAAUUUGCUGAGUACAAC